CAGUCGAGCGAAUUCUGACAGUACACCGUCAGAGUUAGCGGCAGACGGGUGAGUAAUACUUGGGCAAUCUACCCUCCAGUAGGGGACAACCUGCCGAAAGGCGGGCUAAUACCCCAUAAGACCACAGGGAUGCAUAUUCCAGGGGUCAAAGCUCCGCAAGGGGCGCUGAAGGAGGAGCCCGAGUCCUAUCAUGGCAGUUGGCGGGGUAAUGGCCCACCAAGCCGUUGACGGGUAGCCGGCCUGAAAGGGCAACCGGCCACACUGGCACUGAGACACGGGCCAGACUCCUACGGGAGGCAGCAGUGGGGAAUUUUGGACAAUGGGGGCAACCCUGAUCCAGCGACGCCGCGUGAAGGAUGAAGGUCUUCGGAUUGUAAACUUCUUUUGGAGGGGAUGAAUGACUUGGUGAAUAGCCAAGAAUGACAGUACCCUUCGAAUAAGCCACGGCUAACUACGUGCCAGCAGCCGCG
This 470-nucleotide ribosomal RNA is filed under the name uncultured soil bacterium. RNAcentral's name for it is "bacterial SSU rRNA". It matches the Rfam family "Bacterial small subunit ribosomal RNA", at positions 59 to 519 of the family's 1533-position model. The record is from RNAcentral.